Molecule: ribosomal RNA, 465 nt
Filed under: uncultured Klebsiella sp.
Lineage: Bacteria; Pseudomonadati; Pseudomonadota; Gammaproteobacteria; Enterobacterales; Enterobacteriaceae
Description: bacterial SSU rRNA
Rfam family: Bacterial small subunit ribosomal RNA
Source: RNAcentral
CCUACGGGAGGCUGCAGUGGGGAAUAUUGCACAAUGGGCGCAAGCCUGAUGCAGCCAUGCCGCGUGUGUGAAGAAGGCCUUCGGGUUGUAAAGCACUUUCAGCGGGGAGGAAGGGGGUGAGGUUAAUAACCUCAUCGAUUGACGUUACCCGCAGAAGAAGCACCGGCUAACUCCGUGCCAGCAGCCGCGGUAAUACGGAGGGUGCAAGCGUUAAUCGGAAUUACUGGGCGUAAAGCGCACGCAGGCGGUCUGUCAAGUCGGAUGUGAAAUCCCCGGGCUCAACCUGGGAACUGCAUUCGAAACUGGCAGGCUAGAGUCUUGUAGAGGGGGGUAGAAUUCCAGGUGUAGCGGUGAAAUGCGUAGAGAUCUGGAGGAAUACCGGUGGCGAAGGCGGCCCCCUGGACAAAGACUGACGCUCAGGUGCGAAAGCGUGGGGAGCAAACAGGAUUAGAUACCCCUGUAGUC